AAGCUCGUAGUUGAAUUUCCGCAUCUAUAGGUCGGUCAUGUCUAUAGUAUGUACUGGCUUUACUGAUUCCUCCUUCUUGAUGAACUGUAAUGUCAUUAAUUUGGUGUUGCAUGGAUCAGGACUGUUACUUUGAAAAAAUUAGAGUGUUUAAAGCAGGCAUACGCUUGAAUACAUUAGCAUGGAAUAAUGAAAUAGGACGUUCGAUCCUAUUUUGUUGGUUUCUAGGAUUGACGUAAUGAUUAAUAGGGAUAGUUGGGGGCAUUAGUAUUCAAUUGUCAGAGGUGAAAUUCUUGGAUUUAUUGAAGACUAACUACUGCGAAAGCAUUUGCCAAGGAUGUUUUCAUUAAUCAAGAACGAAAGUUAGGGGAUCGAAGACGAUCAGAUACCGUCGUAGUCUUAACCAUAAACUAUGCCGACUAGGGAUCGGAUGAUGUUAUUUUUAAUGACUCAUUCGGCGCCUUACGGGAAACCAAAGUGUUUGGGUUCCGGGGGGAGUAUGGUCGCAAGGCUGAAACUUAAAGGAAUUGACGGAAGGGCACCACCAGGGGUGGAGCCUGUGGCUUAAUUUGACUCAACACGGGGAAA
This 585-nucleotide ribosomal RNA is filed under the name uncultured Glomus. RNAcentral describes it as "SSU rRNA". It matches the Rfam family "Eukaryotic small subunit ribosomal RNA", at positions 624 to 1213 of the family's 1831-position model. The record is from RNAcentral. Lineage: Eukaryota; Fungi; Glomeromycota; Glomeromycetes; Glomerales; Glomeraceae.